AGAUUGAACGCUGGCGGCAGGCCUAACACAUGCAAGUCGAGCGGUAGAGAGGUGCUUGCACCUCUUGAGAGCGGCGGACGGGUGAGUAAUGCCUAGGAAUCUGCCUAGUGGUGGGGGAUAACGUUCGGAAACGGACGCUAAUACCGCAUACGUCCUACGGGAGAAAGCGGGGGACCUUCGGGCCUCGCGCCAUUAGAUGAGCCUAGGUCGGAUUAGCUAGUUGGUGAGGUAUGGCUCAACCGAAGGCGACGAUCCGUAACUGGUCUGAGAGGAUGAUCGAGUCACGACGUGGAACUGACGACACGGUCCAGACCUCGACGGGAGCAGCAGGUGGGAAUUCGUGGACAAGUCGGGACGAAAGCCUAGAC
This 368-nucleotide ribosomal RNA is filed under the name uncultured soil bacterium. Its description in RNAcentral is "bacterial SSU rRNA". It matches the Rfam family "Bacterial small subunit ribosomal RNA", at positions 26 to 388 of the family's 1533-position model. The record is from RNAcentral.